Molecule: transfer RNA, 67 nt
Filed under: Athous haemorrhoidalis
Lineage: Eukaryota; Metazoa; Arthropoda; Insecta; Coleoptera; Elateridae
Description: tRNA-Ile
Source: RNAcentral
AAUGAAGUGCCUGAUUAAAAAGGAUUAUUUUGAUAGAAUAAAGCAUGUAAUUAAAUUACCUUCAUUA